This 510-nucleotide ribosomal RNA is filed under the name uncultured bacterium. RNAcentral's name for it is "partial 16S ribosomal RNA". It matches the Rfam family "Bacterial small subunit ribosomal RNA", at positions 28 to 507 of the family's 1533-position model. The record is from RNAcentral.
GACGAACGCUGGCGGCGUGCUUAACACAUGCAAGUCGAACGAAGAGCGAUGGAAGCUUGCUUCUAUCAAUCUUAGUGGCGAACGGGUGAGUAACGCGUAAUCAACCUGCCCUUCAGAGGGGGACAACAGUUGGAAACGACUGCUAAUACCGCAUACGAUCUAACCUCGGCAUCGAGGAUAGAUGAAAGGUGGCCUCUACAUGUAAGCUAUCACUGAAGGAGGGGAUUGCGUCUGAUUAGCUAGUUGGAGGGGUAACGGCCCACCAAGGCGAUGAUCAGUAGCCGGUCUGAGAGGAUGAACGGCCACAUUGGGACUGAGACACGGCCCAGACUCCUACGGGAGGCAGCAGUGGGGAAUCUUCCGCAAUGGACGGAAGUCUGACGGAGCAACGCCGCGUGAGUGAUGACGGCCUUCGGGUUGUAAAGCUCUGUUAAUCGGGACGAAAGGCCUUCUUGCGAAUAGUGAGAAGGAUUGACGGUACCGGAAUAGAAAGCCACGGCUAACUACGUG